RNAcentral lists this ribosomal RNA (1344 nucleotides) under uncultured bacterium. RNAcentral's name for it is "16S ribosomal RNA". It matches the Rfam family "Bacterial small subunit ribosomal RNA", at positions 28 to 1378 of the family's 1533-position model. The record is from RNAcentral.
GACGAACGCCGUUGGCGUGCUUAACACAUGCAAGUCGAACGGAAAGGCCCUGCUUUUGUGGGGUGCUCGAGUGGCGAACGGGUGAGUAACACGUGAGUAACCUGCCCUUGACUUUGGGAUAACUUCAGGAAACUGGGGCUAAUACCGGAUAGGAGCUCCUGCUGCAUGGUGGGGGUUGGAAAGUUUCGGCGGUUGGGGAUGGACUCGCGGCUUAUCAGCUUGUUGGUGGGGUAGUGGCUUACCAAGGCUUUGACGGGUAGCCGGCCUGAGAGGGUGACCGGCCACAUUGGGACUGAGAUACGGCCCAGACUCCUACGGGAGGCAGCAGUGGGGAAUAUUGCACAAUGGGCGGAAGCCUGAUGCAGCAACGCCGCGUGCGGGAUGACGGCCUUCGGGUUGUAAACCGCUUUCGCCUGUGACGAAGCGUGAGUGACGGUAAUGGGUAAAGAAGCACCGGCUAACUACGUGCCAGCAGCCGCGGUGAUACGUAGGGUGCGAGCGUUGUCCGGAUUUAUUGGGCGUAAAGGGCUCGUAGGUGGUUGAUCGCGUCGGAAGUGUAAUCUUGGGGCUUAACCCUGAGCGUGCUUUCGAUACGGGUUGACUUGAGGAAGGUAGGGGAGAAUGGAAUUCCUGGUGGAGCGGUGGAAUGCGCAGAUAUCAGGAGGAACACCAGUGGCGAAGGCGGUUCUCUGGGCCUUUCCUGACGCUGAGGAGCGAAAGCGUGGGGAGCGAACAGGCUUAGAUACCCUGGUAGUCCACGCUGUAAACGGUGGGUACUAGGUGUGGGGUCCAUUCCACGGGUUCCGUGCCGUAGCUAACGCUUUAAGUACCCCGCCUGGGGAGUACGGCCGGCAAGGCUAAAACUCAAAGGAAUUGACGGGGCCCCGCACAAGCGGCGGAGCAUGCGGAUUAAUUCGAUGCAACGCGUAGAACCUUACCUGGGUUUGACAUGGAUCGGGAGUGCUCAGAGAUGGGUGUGCCUCUUUUGGGGUCGGUUCACAGGUGGUGCAUGGCUGUCGUCAGCUCGUGUCGUGAGAUGUUGGGUUAAGUCCCGCAACGAGCGCAACCCUUGUUCACUGUUGCCAGCACGUUAUGGUGGGGACUCAGUGGAGACCGCCGGGGUCAACUCGGAGGAAGGUGGGGAUGACGUCAAGUCAUCAUGCCCCUUAUGUCCAGGGCUUCACGCAUGCUACAAUGGCUGGUACAGAGAGUGGCGAGCCUGUGAGGGUGAGCGAAUCUCGGAAAGCCGGUCUCAGUUCGGAUUGGGGUCUGCAACUCGACCUCAUGAAGUCGGAGUCGCUAGUAAUCGCAGAUCAGCAACGCUGCGGUGAAUACGUUCCCGGG